GGGACCCGCACAAGCGGUGGAUGAUGUGGUUUAAUUCGAUGCAACGCGAAAAACCUUACCUACCCCUGACAUGCCUGGAAUCCUGCAGAGAUGUGGGAGUGCUCGAAAGAGAACCAGGACACAGGUGCUGCAUGGCCGUCGUCAGCUCGUGUCGUGAGAUGUUGGGUUAAGUCCCGCAACGAGCGCAACCCUUGUCAUUAGUUGCUACGAAAGGGCACUCUAAUGAGACUGCCGGUGACAAACCGGAGGAAGGUGGGGAUGACGUCAGGUCCUCAUGGCCCUUAUGGGUAGGGCUACACACGUCAUACAAUGGCCGGUACAGAGGGCUGCCAACCCGCGAGGGGGAGCUAAUCCCAGAAAACCGGUCGUAGUCCGGAUCGCAGUCUGCAACUCGACUGCGUGAAGUCGGAAUCGCUAGUAAUCGCGGAUCAGCUUGCCGCGGUGAAUACGUUCCCGGGUCUUGUACACACCGCCCGUCACACCAUGGGAGCGGGUUCUGCCAGAAGUAGUUAGCCUAACCGCAAGGAGGGCGAUUACCACGGCAGGGUUCGUGACUGGGGUGAAGUCGUAACAAGGUAGCCGUAUCGGAAGGUGCGGCUGGAUCACCUCCUU
RNAcentral lists this ribosomal RNA (612 nucleotides) under uncultured Leptothrix sp. Its description in RNAcentral is "bacterial SSU rRNA". It matches the Rfam family "Bacterial small subunit ribosomal RNA", at positions 916 to 1532 of the family's 1533-position model. Lineage: Bacteria; Pseudomonadati; Pseudomonadota; Betaproteobacteria; Burkholderiales; Sphaerotilaceae. The record is from RNAcentral.